Molecule: unclassified non-coding RNA, 992 nt
Filed under: Stylophora pistillata
Lineage: Eukaryota; Metazoa; Cnidaria; Anthozoa; Scleractinia; Pocilloporidae
Description: uncharacterized LOC111343731, transcript variant X1
Source: RNAcentral
CAUCCUCUGCCCAACUAGCUGUCAAGCAAUUGUUUGUAAGCCUUAGCUUCAUCAAAACUUGCAGUAAGUUUUAUCACCAAAAAGUUAACUCAGUAAAGCAUGCUUACUUACACGCUCAUUUUGUUGUUGAUUAUUAGAAGAGCUUAAGACAAAUUAUUUGCAAUUUCUUUCAUUCUAGAUGGAGAGAGGCUUUGUUCGUGUUAUAGCUUUAAUAACUAGACAAAUGGUAAUAAGUGGCCACAGGCAAUGGGUAGCUGUGAACAUCACAGCAAAAUCCUUGUGGUGAUGGAAACAGAGCAGGAAUGGGAAUUUAUCAAAAAUGCGAUUCAAGACCGGGUAGGCAGCAAAUAUGGUGAAUGGUUCAUAGGCUUGGAGCAAAAUUUCACAACAGAGAAAUGGACUUGGAUCAAUGGUAAACCUCUGAGUAUUGACAAAUGGCAGAGCUCAAAUCCUGAACCGAACGACCUUUAUGGGCUGAUUCAUAAAGAAUUUCCAGUUGGAUUCAAAGGAUCUUUUAGUACCAUAAAAGGUGUCAUACAAAGAGGUUGGAUUUGCGAGGAAGAAACAGACAAUUGUCGAGGAGACUGUUUCUCGCACGCUGUUCCGACAAGUAGCAGUCUGCCUGGAACAAAAGCUGCUUCUACACGAGGGAAGACGUCAAGUGAACAAGAUAUCACCAAUCCUCCUGGAACAAAAGCUGUUACUACGUGAGGGAAGAUGUCAACUGAACAAGAUAUCACCAAUCCUCCUGGAACAAAAGCUGUUACUACACCGCGAGGGAAUACGUCAACUGAACAAUAUAUCACUGAUGAAUCAGGGUCUUCAACAAAUGUCUUCACCCCUACCCCGCCAAAAUCAACAGACGAAGUCCUCAUGGAUGACAAAAGCAGUCCUUCUCCUACAGUAACGAUAGCAGCCGCCUCUUUAGGCGUAGUGCUCUUCAAAGUGUUGAUCAUUUUUGUUGUAGUCAUAUUGCUAUGGCGAAAGAAACA